CUGUUAUGCAACAACUGGUAACUAAGACAGAUUUUGGUACCAAGAGUGAGGUGCUACCCUUACAAAAGUUUAAAUGAGAGAGUGGCUUUGAAAACAGGCAGUGGACAGAAGUGGAAAGACUUCGAGGAAAGUGUCAGUGAAAGCCUGAAGAACCUGCUAAGUAGAAGCCUUUGUGGAGGCCACAGGGCAGGUCUCCAGUGGGGCGCCCAGAUUUCAGAGAAACCACUGGAGGAGCCAGAGUGCAGCCAAGAUGCCCUGAAUGGAACUGAGAAGAUACGCAGGCCUAAAGGAGUACCACCUGGCCUACAGCCUUGAAUGACUGAUCUUCAUAACAUGUUAUCCCACUUCUUGAUCAUGGCUACUGGACCAGUGACCGACACCUGCUCAAGACUGGCCAAUCAUAUUUCCUCUUCCAUGCCUCUGGAAUCUGAACACUAAAAUGUUACUACACUUGGCAGCAAACCAAGGAGAGGUCAUGCAGAGCAAAGACUGCCAACUAGGAGUGAUAUAAACCAAUUGCGAUAAUUAAGAUCACCUGUUCUGGGGGAAGCCCGAUGCUAUUUCGUAAGGAGACUCAAGCAGCCCUAUGGAUAGGGCCACACAGCAAGAAACUGAGGCCUCUUGCCAACAACCAGCAGCAACUGGCUAGGUAUGUGAGUGAGCUGGCUUGGAAGCAGAUAUUUCAGACCCAGAGAAAUCUCCAGAUGACUACAGCCCCAGCUGACAUCUUGACUGCAGCCUCGUGAAAGACUGCGAGCCAGAAAUGCAGAGAAAAUACAGACAUUAAAUAUACAAUUACAAGUAUGA
This 807-nucleotide long non-coding RNA is filed under the name Equus caballus (horse). RNAcentral's name for it is "lncRNA (ENSECAG00000041836.2)". The record is from RNAcentral. Lineage: Eukaryota; Metazoa; Chordata; Mammalia; Perissodactyla; Equidae.